This 937-nucleotide ribosomal RNA is filed under the name Leptotrema wightii. Its description in RNAcentral is "LSU rRNA". It matches the Rfam family "Eukaryotic large subunit ribosomal RNA", at positions 143 to 1099 of the family's 3401-position model. The record is from RNAcentral. Lineage: Eukaryota; Fungi; Ascomycota; Lecanoromycetes; Ostropales; Graphidaceae.
UUGUAAUUUGUAGAAGGUGCCCCGGGCGAGACCGCGGCCCAAGUCCUCUGGAACUGGGCGUCAUAGAGGGUGAGAACCCCGUACGCGGCCGCGCGGACGAGCCCGUGUGGGGCCCUUUCGACGAGUCGAGUUGUUUGGGAAUGCAGCUCAAAUUUGGUGGUAAAUUCCAUCUAAAGCUAAAUACCUGCCGGAGACCGAUAGCGCACAAGUAGAGUGAUCGAAAGAUGAAAAGCACUUUGAAAAGAGAGUUAAAAAGUACGUGAAAUUGUUGAAAGGGAAGCGCUUGCAACCAGACUCGCUCGCGGGUGCUCAGCCGUCCUCCGGGGCGGUGCACUCUCCCGCGAUCGGGCCAGCGUCGGUUCUGGCGGCCGGACAAAGGCCCAGGGAACGUAGCUCUCUUCGGGGAGUGUUAUAUCCCGGGGUGCAAUGCGGCCCGCCGGGACCGAGGACCGCGCUUUAGCUAGGACGCUGGCGUAAUGGUUGCCAGCGACCCGUCUUGAAACACGGACCAAGGAGUCGACCAACCGCGCGAGUGUUUGGGCGUCAAACCCACGCGCGCAAUGAAAGUGAACGGAGGUGGGAGCCUCAGGGCGCACCAUCGACCGAUCCUGAUGUCUUCGGAUGGAUUUGAGUACGAGCACGGUUGGUCGGACCCGAAAGAUGGUGAACUAUGCGCGAAUAGGGUGAAGCCAGAGGAAACUCUGGUGGAGGCUCGCAGCGGUUCUGACGUGCAAAUCGAUCGUCAAAUUUGCGUAUAGGGGCGAAAGACUUAUCGAACCAUCUAGUAGCUGGUUCCCGUCGAAGUUUCCCUCAGGAUAGCAGUAACGAAGAACAGUCUCAUGAGGUAGAGCGAACGAUUAGAGGUCUUGGGGCCGCAAUCGGCCUUAACCUAUUCUCGAACUUCGAAUAUGUGAGAAGUCCUUGUUGCUUAGUUGAA